GACGAACGCUGGCGGCGUGCUUAACACAUGCAAGUCGAACGGUAAGGCCCUUCGGGGUACACGAGUGGCGAACGGGUGAGUAACACGUGGGUGAUCUGCCCUGCACUUCGGGAUAAGCCUGGGAAACUGGGUCUAAUACCGGAUAGGACUCCUGGCUUCAUGGUUGGGGUGUAAAGCUUUUGCGGUGUGGGAUGGGCCCGCGGCCUAUCAGCUUGUUGGUGGGGUAAUGGCCUACCAAGGCGACGACGGGUUAGCCGGCCUGAGAGGGUGACCGGCCACACUGGGACUGAGAUACGGCCCAGACUCCUACGGGAGGCAGCAGUGGGAAUAUUGCACAAAUGGGCGCAAGCCUGAUGCAGCGACGCCGCGUGAGGGAUGACGGCCUGG
RNAcentral lists this ribosomal RNA (387 nucleotides) under uncultured bacterium. Its description in RNAcentral is "bacterial SSU rRNA". It matches the Rfam family "Bacterial small subunit ribosomal RNA", at positions 28 to 419 of the family's 1533-position model. The record is from RNAcentral.